Long non-coding RNA from Oncorhynchus tshawytscha (Chinook salmon), 741 nucleotides. The record is from Ensembl. NCBI's taxonomy places the organism in Eukaryota, Metazoa, Chordata, Actinopteri, Salmoniformes, Salmonidae.
CCUAGUGGUUAGAGUGUAGAGGAGGCAGGUAGCCUAGUGGUUAGAGUGUAGAGGAGGCAGGUAGCCUAGUGGUUAGAGUGUAGAGGAGGCAGGUAGCCUAGUGGUUAGAGUGUAGAGGAGGCAGGUAGCCUAUUGGUUAGAGUGUAGAGGAGGCAGGUAGCCUAGUGGUUAGAGUGUAGGGGAGGCAGGUAGCCUAGUGGUUAGAGUGUAGAGGAGGCAGGUAGCCUAGUGGUUAGAGUGUAGGGGAGGCAGGUAGCCUAGUGGUUAGAGUGUAGAGGAGGCAGGCAGCCUAGUGGUUAGAGUGUAGAGGAGGCAGGUAGCCUAGUGGUUAGAGUGUAGAGGAGGCAGGUAGCCUAGUGGUUAGAGUGUAGAGGAGGCAGGUAGCCUAGUGGUUAGAGUGUAGAGGAGGCAGGUAGCCUAGUGGUUAGAGUGUAGAUGAGGCAGGUAGCCUAGUGGUUAGAGUGUAGAGGAAGCAGGUAGUCUAGUGGUUAGAGUGUAGAGGAGGCAGGUAGCCUAGUGGUUAGAGUGUAGAGGAGGCAGGUAGCCUAGUGGUUAGAGUGUAGAGGGGGCAGGUAGCCUAGUGGUUAGAGUGUAGAGGAGGCAGGUAGCCUAGUGGUUAGAGUGUAGAGGAGGCAGGUAGCCUAGUGGUUAGAGUGUAGAGGAGGUAGGUAGCCUAGUGGUUAGAGUGUAGAGGAGGCAGGCAGCCUAGUGGUUAGAGUGUAGAGGAGGCAGGUAGCCUAG